GGGGGGAAUUCCUUGAUUAUGUUAAUACCGCCUAGGGAUAGGGGUAGGACGAUCAAUUGUAUUUUGCUUCCGCUCAUUAUGCAUUAUUAAUUACUAGGGGAGGCUAGGGAUAGCAAGCCGGUAAUUAGUAGUAGGCUCUUUUCACCAAGGGAAUGGGUUAAGGGUAGACCAAGAAAGUUUGCAUGGAAAUUGGAUAAACAAGCGAAUUAAAUAAGAAGAGUAGAUAUCUGAGAGUGGAUA
This 240-nucleotide long non-coding RNA is filed under the name Vigna radiata. Its description in RNAcentral is "long non-coding RNA (VRAD_LNC013726)". The record is from RNAcentral. Lineage: Eukaryota; Viridiplantae; Streptophyta; Magnoliopsida; Fabales; Fabaceae.